RNAcentral lists this ribosomal RNA (255 nucleotides) under uncultured bacterium. Its description in RNAcentral is "partial 16S ribosomal RNA". It matches the Rfam family "Bacterial small subunit ribosomal RNA", at positions 524 to 777 of the family's 1533-position model. The record is from RNAcentral.
UACGUAGGGUGCAAGCGUUGUCCGGAAUUAUUGGGCGUAAAGAGCUCGUAGGCGGCUUGUCACGUCGACUGUGAAAACCCGAGGCUCAACCUCGGGCCUGCAGUCGAUACGGGCAGGCUAGAGUUCGGUAGGGGAGACUGGAAUUCCUGGUGUAGCGGUGAAAUGCGCAGAUAUCAGGAGGAACACCGGUGGCGAAGGCGGGUCUCUGGGCCGAUGACUGACGCUGAGGAGCGAAAGCGUGGGGAGCGAACAGGA